UAUGGAGGGGGCUAGCGUUAUUCAGAAUUACUGGGUGUAAAGCGCACGUAGGCGGAUUGGAAAGUCAGAGGUGAAAUCCCAGGGCUCAACUUUGGAACUGCCUUUGAAACUCCUGGUCUUGAGGUCGUGAGAGGUGAGUGGAAUUCCGAGUGUAGAGGUGAAAUUCGUAGAUAUUCGGAGGAACAUCAGUGGCGAAGGCGGCUCACUGGCACGAUACUGACGCUGAGGUGCGAAAGUGUGGGGAGCAAACAGG
RNAcentral lists this ribosomal RNA (253 nucleotides) under uncultured bacterium. Its description in RNAcentral is "partial 16S ribosomal RNA". It matches the Rfam family "Bacterial small subunit ribosomal RNA", at positions 524 to 776 of the family's 1533-position model. The record is from RNAcentral.